Molecule: ribosomal RNA, 498 nt
Filed under: uncultured bacterium
Lineage: Bacteria
Description: bacterial SSU rRNA
Rfam family: Bacterial small subunit ribosomal RNA
Source: RNAcentral
AUUGAACGCUGGCGGCAUGCUUUACACAUGCAAGUCGAACGGCAGCACGGGCUUCGGCCUGGUGGCGAGUGGCGAACGGGUGAGUAAUGCGUCGGAACGUGCCGAGUAAUGGGGGAUAACGCAUCGAAAGGUGUGCUAAUACCGCAUACGCUCUGAGGAGGAAAGCGGGGGACCUUCGGGCCUCGCGUUAUUCGAGCGGCCGACGUCUGAUUAGCUAGUUGGUGGGGUAAAGGCUCACCAAGGCGACGAUCAGUAGCGGGUCUGAGAGGAUGAUCCGCCACACUGGUACUGAGACACGGACCAGACUCCUACGGGAGGCAGCAGUGAGGAAUAGUGGUCAAUGUACGCAAGUCUGAACCAGCCAAGUAGCGUGAAGGAUGAAGGUUCUAUGGAUUGUAAACUUCUUUUAUAUGGGAAUAAAACCACUUACGUGUAGGUGUCUGUAUGUACCAUAUGAAUAAGGACCGGCUAGCUCCGUGCCAGCAGCCGCCGUAAUAC